This 3666-nucleotide long non-coding RNA is filed under the name Gossypium raimondii (Peruvian cotton). RNAcentral's name for it is "long non-coding RNA (GRAI_LNC006841)". Lineage: Eukaryota; Viridiplantae; Streptophyta; Magnoliopsida; Malvales; Malvaceae. The record is from RNAcentral.
UAAAUGUUAUGUAACACCCCUUACCCGUAUUCGAUGCCGGAAUAGGGUACGAGGUAUUACCAAAACACACACACUUAUAACCAUAUUAAAUCGAGUUGUAAAAUUUCAUCUAAGCUAAAACUUUUAAAUUGUUAUUCUUAAUUCGCUAAUUAGGGUUUACAUAGCCCAAUAUACUCACAAUCUUUCAUUUCCUCGUCGUAUGAAUUAAAAAAUUUCCAUUUACUUAUUGAAUUCAUCACGAAUACCUGAAUUGAUCUGUAUCAUUACAUAUUCUCAUGUCGUCACAUUUUCCUAUUUAACUAUUGUAAUAUAUCAAUUAUUCAAUAUCUUAUAAGCUAAGUGUCACAUAUACUUUAUCCAUUCAUCUCCCAUACAACUAUCAAUAUUAGCUACAAAGAUAGAACAAAUUUUCUCUGUUCGAUGUUAAAUCAAAACAUAUUACUUCAUUACCAACUACCCUUACUAAAUAUACACCUUAAAUUAGUCCAAGUGUUUAACUAUUCACCCAUGACAUAAAUAUAUUUUAUCUAUUAUUGCAGAAUAUAAAUGUGUUACCCAAAUCAUAAUUCACCUCACAUAGUAACUAAGUUAAUUUUUAUCAUUUGUCAAAUAAAUUACAAAACAAAUUAUAUAACAAAAUAUAGAUACAUUUUAAACCUCACCAAUAAACAAAUUCUUAUGGCAUUAAAUAAUUAUCACGCAUCAAAGACAAACGUAUUUGAUAUUUCCAUCACAUAAACCGGAUUAAUCAGUGCAAACUCAAUGAUGUAAUCAUCCUUUUAACUUACCUAACCAAGCCAAAUUAUACCAUCAUCUCACACAUAGAAUGUCCCACCUAUCAUACUUCUCAAUUAUGUCACUUAAUAGACCAAAUAUACCUAACGUUUAUCAUCAUGAUCAAUCCACAACCAAAAUACAUCCAUAUAUCUAAAUUACCACACACAUAUAUAUAUACCAUACACACAUACUAUAAAACUUUAUUUUCCCCAUGAGCUUAAACCAUGACUAAUAAUGCACAAAUAUAAGUAUCAUUUCUAUUUCAUCAUUUAUCAAUUAUAAUCGAACAUAUGACCAAUUAUAGACAAAUCAUUCAUAUAUUCUCCAAUUUUCCUCCUCCUCCUCUCCAUUCCACAUCCUUAAUGUGUAUAAUACAUUUAAGCAACAUUUUCCAUACUAUCACUAUUUUCCUGUAUGUAAAUUCAAGUUGUCUAUCUGAGUCAGAGUCACUAAUUUAUUUAUAUCUCGAGCUACAGAGCUCAAAAUUAAGAUCCGUAAAUUUUUCCUGAAACUAGACUCACAUAUCUUCUUACCAUAAAAUUUUCAGAAUUUUUGGUGCAUCCAAUAAGUACAGUUUAUUCUUUAAAGUUUCCCCUGUUGCACUGCUCGACAGUUCUGACCUCUCUUCACUAAAGAUUGAUUAUCUCAUUGAACAGAAUUCAAAUGGUAUUCCCGUUUAUUUCUCAUGAAAAUAGACUCAUGUAGGAUUCUAAAAAUAUAAGUUUUAACCCAUAAUUAAUUUUGUACAAUUUUUAAUGAUUUUCCAAAGACAGAACAGGGGAUUCCGAAAUUAUUCUGACUCUGUCUCACAAAAUUUAUUAUAUCUCAUGAUUUACAAUUCCAUUGCUUACACCGUUUCUUCUAUGAGAAACUAGACUCGAUAAGCUUUAAUUUCAUAUAUUACUCAUCUUCUAAUUCAAUUCCCACGAUUUUUGGUGAUUUUUCAAAGUUGGCACACUGCUGCUGCCCAAAACUGUUUUAGUGCAACAUUUUGAUAACCAUUUUGACCCUAAACUUUUAACACAUGACAAUUUCAUCCCUAGGCUCAGAAAAUGAAAUUCUUGCAAUUUAAUCCUUGAUCCAAGCCUAAUAGUUCUCAUACAUAUUAAUAACAGCCCAUGGAUACCAUGAAAUUUCAGAAUUUUCCCACAGUUUCAAUACUUUUCAACUUAAUCCCUAAAACAUAUUUUCAUCCAAAAUUCUUUAAUAAAACACCUUUAAACAUUCAUUAACAUAUCAAUUUCAUCAUCAAAUAACAAAAAUCAUAUGAACUUAUCAAUGGUAUCUUUCUAAACUUUCAACAAAAUGAGAAACUAGUAGAAUACUAGGUUGGACCUAAUUGUAAAAGUCUAAAAAUAUAAAAAUUUUAAUGAAAAAGUAAGAAUUUCACUUACUUGAAGCUAAAAUAUGGAAGACCAGCUCUAAACCCUCUUCCAUGGCUAUUUCCCACCGAAAUUUCAAGAAUAAUUGGUCUUGAAAUCCUUAAAAUAAACUUUGGCCACAUAAACUUUAUUGUAAUUCCAAUUUUGUCCUUAAAUACAUAAAAAUCUUUGAUUUUUUUAACGGUAUGCCGCCUCUGCCACUUAAGUUGGUCCAUUUACUCCCUUAGUCCUUUCUUAUUUAAUUUCUAAGCUAUUUAAUCACUUUAGCAAGUUUUGCAUCUUUUCAAUUUAGUCCUUUUUAAUUAAUUGACUGCCGAAACGUUAAAAUUUUCUGACGAAACUUUAACACUACCAUAUUGACACUCUGUAAAUAUUUAUAAAAAUAUUUUCGGCUCGAUUUAUAACAUCGAGGUCUCGAUACCUCUUUUCCUCAACUUCUUAACUUAAUAAAUUUUUAUAAAACACAAAUUACUAAUUCAAAAAUAUCUUAAAAAUCAUAUUUGACCCGUAAUUAUUAAAUAAUAAAAUUUUUUGAGCUUAUUUUCUGAAUUUGGUGGUCUCGUACCACUGUUUUCAAUAUUUCUAAAAAUCGGGCUAUUACAUGUUAUGUGUUUUAUAUGAAAUUGAAGAGAAAGAAAAGAAAGUAAAGGACCUAAUUGAAUAAAAAGGAAAAGAGAAGGCUAAGGAGUGAAGGAAGACAUCAUCUCAACCUUUUUGUUGUAAGUACUACAAGAUUAUUUUUUUAAAAAUUAUUUUAUUUAAAUGCCUAUAUUAUAGUAUAGAAUUAUUUAGGAAUAAAAUAAAAUAAAGUAAAAUAAAAGAUUAUGGAACCAUGAAAUUUGUAAAGAAAAUUAUAGAUGGAAAAUAUAAGAUGGUAUAUUGUUUAAACAUUAAGUAAAUAUUGUGACAAAACUAUAUAUAUGUGAAAAUGGUGUGAUAAUUGUGAAUUGUGAAAUGUGCACUAAAUUGUAAUGAUGGAGAAAUGAGAAAUCUUUUUCAAAAUAAUUCUAUAAAGUAUUUAAAUGAAUGAGAUUCAGUUUUAACGCCCAAGUAGAUGGAAUUUAGAACUACCAGGAUAUUAGUGGCAUGCCAUUAAGGAAUUUUAGCGCUCUCUGAUUAUUAGCACGUUGGUGCUCUCUGAUUAUUAGCACAUUGGUGCUCUCUGAUAUUUAGCACGCCAGUGCUCUCUGUUUAGCACAUCUGUGCUUUCUGUAUAGCACUUUAGUGCUCUCUGUUCAUUGGUGCAUAAUAAUGCACCUCUGUAUUUGUUCCGUAUAUCCAGUGUGUUCUAUAAAAUCUACUUUGGGCUAAUAUUAUGAUUUGUGGAUAAAAGCGAAUAAUUAAUGUGUUAAGGUAAGUUUUAUGAAGUUUAAAUGUAUGUAAAUAUGUAAUAGCAGAAUGAGUUUGAAAUAUUUUAUUUAGAUUUAUUUAUUUGUUUAUUCUUGUGGUGCUUACUAAGCCUUCACCGGCUGAACGCGUUUAAUUUUAACGCGUAGGUACAGUUUGA